Molecule: ribosomal RNA, 464 nt
Filed under: uncultured bacterium
Lineage: Bacteria
Description: partial 16S ribosomal RNA
Rfam family: Bacterial small subunit ribosomal RNA
Source: RNAcentral
CUACGGGUUGCUGCAGUGGGGAAUAUUGCACAAUGGGCGCAAGCCUGAUGCAGCCAUGCCGCGUGUAUGAAGAAGGCCUUCGGGUUGUAAAGUACUUUCAGCGGGGAGGAAGGGAGUAAAGUUAAUACCUUUGCUCAUUGACGUUACCCGCAGAAGAAGCACCGGCUAAGUCCGUGCCAGCAGCCGCGGUAAUACGGAGGGUGCAAGCGUUAAUCGGAAUUACUGGGCGUAAAGCGCACGCAGGCGGUUUGUUAAGUCAGAUGUGAAAUCCCCGGGCUCAACCUGGGAACUGCAUCUGAUACUGGCAAGCUUGAGUCUCGUAGAGGGGGGUAGAAUUCCAGGUGUAGCGGUGAAAUGCGUAGAGAUCUGGAGGAAUACCGGUGGCGAAGGCGGCCCCCUGGACGAAGACUGACGCUCAGGUGCGAAAGCGUGGGGAGCAAACAAGAUUAGAUACCCGGGUAGUC